RNAcentral lists this long non-coding RNA (4770 nucleotides) under Mizuhopecten yessoensis (Yesso scallop). RNAcentral describes it as "uncharacterized LOC110452873". Lineage: Eukaryota; Metazoa; Mollusca; Bivalvia; Pectinida; Pectinidae. The record is from RNAcentral.
UCCCGCAGCGCAAAAUACGCUGCAGAAGAAAAUGGAGAUGGAGAAAUUUUCAAAAGACGGCAGGAAGGUUAUCGAAGCUGAAGAAAAUGGGAUUACUUCAGAAAUUCUCCUAAAAUUUACUGACACGGACAUCAGAGAUGCAUUCGAUUGCUUGAUGGAUCGUUUUGAAGUGUGCCAGAUACAGAGUCGUCAUGCUUUGCUGACAUCGACACAAACAGGCAGUAUUAUUAGCAGCCAGGACCUGAAGAUGUAAGCUUUACAAGAUCUUCAAAUGAUAAUUAAAGCAUAUGUGUACAAGCUCAGAAGAUAACACCAGCCUGCAGGAUGACAGUGAUGUGCAAAAUGCAAAGAUAUACAGCAAAAGAUUUGCUAUUGAAAAAGGAUAAAAGAGGAAUACCUAAAGCACCACAACGGUUUUUCAGCAAUCUCAUGCAAGAUGCGGCAGACGCUGUCAAUAUUUUAAAAAAAGCUCUCCCUUUGCACCAAAUAUCCUCGGAAAAUAACAACUGUUUUUUAAAAAUGUAUUAACAGUGACACCUCAAUUAAGCGGAGCCAAAAGGAGGUAUGGCAAAUACUAGGAAUAAUUUUGCAAAACAAAAGAAAAUAUCUUUUUGAUAAAAGUUUAGGCAACAGAAGUUCUACCAAGAAAAAUGACAACAGUAAUAAUUGGAACGUAAACAGUGUGGAGCCUGCAAUUGGAAAUAAAGUGUUUGUUACUGACAAAACAAAAACUUAAUCGCUUGGUGAAGGAAUUAUUAUUUCCGAUCCGAAUUCCAAAUUUGUUGAAAUAGCUUUGAACAAACUGCGAUUUAGAUGAAAUAGGAGACGAACAUCGGGAACUUCAAACACCAUCGAUUGUUACAUGGAGAACGGAUAGACUCGCAAUAAGUAGACUGGGUAAAAAGAGUGCAAGUUCUACAACGAGGAAACCAGCAUAUAUAUGCAUAUACAAUACAGAUAAAUUUCAAGAGUUUUGGGAAACCUGUAUUCUAGCAACUCUGUCCUAAUAAUGUCGGCUGUAUCUUAUUCUUGAAACCACACAGAUCAUAUGUGAACCAUGCAUCCAUAUUUUAUAUUUAACAAUGCUAAAUUUGUAGCAGUAAAAACUUUUGCAAAUAUAUAUGUUAUUCAACUGUCAUUUUUUCAUGUUUAAAAGAUAUCUGUGACACAUGUGACAUGUGGGUAGAUUAUAUUACAAUUUAUUGACAAGAGUUAACGUUACUUGUAUUAUUUCUAACUUUAAACACAGCUGGAAUUAUUAUAUAUACCGUCAUAACUGCAUAUUCAGAAUCUAUUGAAUGUCCAUUAUUAUUGUUAUUGUCAUAUAAGUGAUUACAAUUUGAAUUCCAGUGACCACAGGCUAGGUAUUUCAGUGGAAAUACCACUGGAUUCCACUGGGAAAUUAGACCAUUAUUCCACUGGAUUCCACUGGGCAAUUUGGCCUGGAAUUUCCAAUAGAAUUGAUCUGGAUUCCAGUGGAAAUACCACUGGAUUUCAGUGGAAUACCAGCAGAAAUUCCACUGGGCAAUUUGGCCUGAAUUCCAGGCCAAAUUGCCCAGUGGAAUUUCUCAUGAAAUGUGGUAAUUUGUACAUGUUCAUGAAAGUUCAUGAAUAUUUCAAGCAUUUUCCAUUCAUGAACUUAAAAUGGGACAUUUUCUUCAUGAACAUUCAUGAAAAUUCAUGAAUUGUUGCAAUUUUUCAUGAAUGUUCAUGAAUUCAUAUAUUCAUGAAUAUUCAUGAUUUUAUAUUCAUGAUUUUCACAUGCUUUCAUGAUUCAUGAAUCUUCAUGAAAUAUUUUGCUCAAGAUUAUUCAUGAAGUUUUAAGUUCAUGAAUUUCAUGAAAAUAUAUUCAGGACCAAAUCAAGAACAUUCAUGAAUAUUAUUCAUGAAUAUUUCAUGAACUGUUCAUGAAUUUUCAUGAAUUAUUCAUAAUCAUUUCGCAGGGGUAGCCUGUUUUAAUUGUGUUAGUUCUGACAUCCAGUUUCUUUUGUUUUUUAAGUUUAAUAAAAUCUUUAUUUGGGAGAUGGAACCAUUCUCAAAAAUAUCAUCAAUUAGUAGUAUACCUGAAUUUAUCCAGUUGGUAAAAAUCAGUACUUAAUUUUUGAUUUUGAUAUGUUUGUUUCCCCAUAUUGGUUGUUUUCUUACUUCCAGCUGAUUGAUAUAAUUUUUCGUUUGUUCUCCACCCAGUGUAAUCCAAGCUUUGAUAACUUCUUGAUAAAAUAAUGGUGUUUCUUUUAUUUUUGGUAGAGAUUUAAUUUCGUCUAGAUUCAUUUUUAAAAUGAGCAGGUCUUUCCCAUAUUUGUUUAAAAAGUAGUUUGGUAUGAUUUUCCAGUUCUAUUAUUACUUUUUGGUGAAUUGUCAAAGAUUGUGCAAGGUAUGUAAAUUUGGGUGAUAUAAUACUUUUAAUAAUUACUGUUUUACCAAUAAAAGUUAGAUCUCUUCUUUUCCACAUAUUAAGACAUAUUUUUGUAUUUGUAAUUUUUUCAUCCCAGUUAAGCUUUUCACAUUCAUUUUUAUUAUUAUUGAAAUUUACCCCUAAUGACUUUAUUGGUACUUCUUGCCAGUUUAUUACGCUUAUCUUUCUUUUAGAAAUUUUUAGUUUUCCAAUCCAAAGACCAUCAGUUUUGUUUCUAUUGAAUUUUAAGCCUGAUACCUCCCCAAAUUCUAAUACUAUUUGCAACGCUAUUGGUAUGCGGUGUGGUGAACUUAUAAACUGGGUGGUUUCAUCUGCUAACUGGCCUAUUUUUUGUUCUUUCAAAGACCCCUCUACUUUUAUCCCUCUUAAAUUGUUGUUAUUGCAGAUUUUAAGGCCUAGGAUUUCAACUAUGGCUACGAAAAUUAAGGCUGAGACUGGACAACCCUGCCUUAUGCCUCUUUCUAUUUUAUUUUUUUUAGAUUUCCACCCAUUGUUUAACAUACAACUAGAACUAUUUGAAUACAAAGUGUUUAUCCAUGAGAUGAAAGAGUUAUUAAAUCCAAAUGUUUUUAAAGUUUUAACCAUAAAGUCCCACGCACGUGUGUCGAAAGCUUUUUUGAAAUCAAGGAAAAGGAUUGCCCCCUCUAUAUUUAAUUGGUCUGCAUAAUCAAUGAUAUAUUGUGUUCGACGAAUAUUAUAACCGAUAUAUCUAUUUGUUAAGUAACCUUGUUGAUCCAAGCUAAUGAUGGAUGGUAAUACUUUUUGAAGACGUUUUGCCAAUACAUAUGCUGCUAUUUUAUAAUCAAAAUUUGUUAGUGUGAUCGGUCUACAAUUUUCUAGUAAUUCUGGGUUUCCUUUUUUAUAUAUGAUUGUUAUUGCGCCCUGUUGUUGUGAGGCUGAUAAUUUAGUUUUUGUAUAACCUGCAUUUAGUUAUUGUAUAACUAUGUCUUUAAGCUCAUUCCAGAAAGUUUCAUAAAAUUCUGCUGUUAUACCAUCUAGCCCUGGUGAUUUAUUUAAUUUCAUAUUUUUUACAGCGUCUGUACAUUCUUUUACUGUAAGUGGACCGUCACAUAGUUUACUUGUGUCUUUAUUUAGUUUAUUUUCCAAAACUGUAUUGCUUAAAUAAUCGUUUACUUUGGUGGGGUCUGGAGAUUGUGUGGUAUAUAGUUUUUUUUAUAGAAAUCAUGCCCUACUUUGAAAAAUCUCUGAUUCUUUUGUUAUUGUUUUACCCUCAACAUUUAAUUUUGUUAAAGAUUUUCUCAUCUGUCAUUUGUUCACUAAUUGGAGAAAAUAUUUGGUGUUUUUUUUCUCCCUUCUCUACCCAAUUUUCUUUCGCUCUUAUUUGGGUGCCUUUUGCUUUAAAUUCAUAGAUGUCUCCUAUUUGUUUUUCUAGAUCUAUUCUUUUGUUUUCCAUAGCCCCAUCAUCAGUGUGAUUAGUCUGUUCGUUCAGUAUUUUUAGCUAUCAUUCUAGUAGGUUGAAUUUGUUUUUCCUUUCUAGACUUUUCUUCAUGCCGAAAUCAAUUAAUUUUUCUUUAAUUGUGGAUUUACAUAAUUCCCAUCUUACUUGUAUAUCUUGUACACCUCUGUCUAUUGCAUGUAGCUAGGUAUUCAUAAAUAACCUGUUUUAUUGUUUUGAUAUACUCAUCAUCAGUUAGGUAGGGAUUAUUCAUUUUCCAGAGGAUCUACCUUUUGUUGGUAUAGUAAGGUUUAAUUUUAACGAGAUAGCCAUGUGAUCUGUAUGUUUUAUAAUUGCAGGUCUUAUGUCGCAUGUAUUAACAAUAGGUCUGAUAUCCUUGCUAAUUAAUGAGAAGUCUAUUCUACUUUUCUCGGACCUGUUUUUUCUUUUCUAUGUAAAUUGUAACUUGUUUUGAUUAGUUUGUCUCCAAAUGUCAGUUAGUUUAUUUUGUUUAAUGAGCUGCGUUAAGCUGUUGGUAGUUGUGUUUCGUUUAUUUAUGUUAGUUUUUCUGUCUAUUUGUUUUAAGGUGUUGUUGUAGUUACCCUCUAUGAUGAGAGAGCCUUUUGCUUCAGAUUUCAUAACUUCAUUGAUUCUUUUAAAAACAUGUUUCUGUCUUGUGGGUUGUUCGGUGCAUAAAUAUUUAUCAGUGUGUAUGUUGUUUGAUCAAUUUGGAUGUUUAUGAAUACAUAACGACCAUUAACAUCUGUAUGUGUAUUUACAAUGUUAUAGUUUACUACUAAUCAGUAUUGAAGCUCCCCUACUGUUACUUGUGCCGUAACUGUCUAUAGUGUCCCCUUGCCAUUCAGCAUAUCAAAUUUUGUCUGAUUUUUGUGCGAAAUGUGUUUCCUGAAUGAAAGCUAUGUCUCCUUUUUGAUUAAAUAAAUAUGUGUAUAAACGA